This 890-nucleotide ribosomal RNA is filed under the name Bacillus sp. (in: firmicutes). RNAcentral describes it as "bacterial SSU rRNA". It matches the Rfam family "Bacterial small subunit ribosomal RNA", at positions 56 to 927 of the family's 1533-position model. The record is from RNAcentral. Lineage: Bacteria; Bacillati; Bacillota; Bacilli; Caryophanales; Bacillaceae.
UGCAAGUCGAGCGGACAGAUGGGAGCUUGCUCCCUGAUGUUAGCGGCGGACGGGUGAGUAACACGUGGGUAACCUGCCUGUAAGACUGGGAUAACUCCGGGAAACCGGGGCUAAUACCGGAUGGUUGUCUGAACCGCAUGGUUCAGACAUAAAAGGUGGCUUCGGCUACCACUUACAGAUGGACCCGCGGCGCAUUAGCUAGUUGGUGAGGUAACGGCUCACCAAGGCGACGAUGCGUAGCCGACCUGAGAGGGUGAUCGGCCACACUGGGACUGAGACACGGCCCAGACUCCUACGGGAGGCAGCAGUAGGGAAUCUUCCGCAAUGGACGAAAGUCUGACGGAGCAACGCCGCGUGAGUGAUGAAGGUUUUCGGAUCGUAAAGCUCUGUUGUUAGGGAAGAACAAGUGCCGUUCAAAUAGGGCGGCACCUUGACGGUACCUAACCAGAAAGCCACGGCUAACUACGUGCCAGCAGCCGCGGUAAUACGUAGGUGGCAAGCGUUGUCCGGAAUUAUUGGGCGUAAAGGGCUCGCAGGCGGUUUCUUAAGUCUGAUGUGAAAGCCCCCGGCUCAACCGGGGAGGGUCAUUGGAAACUGGGGAACUUGAGUGCAGAAGAGGAGAGUGGAAUUCCACGUGUAGCGGUGAAAUGCGUAGAGAUGUGGAGGAACACCAGUGGCGAAGGCGACUCUCUGGUCUGUAACUGACGCUGAGGAGCGAAAGCGUGGGGAGCGAACAGGAUUAGAUACCCUGGUAGUCCACGCCGUAAACGAUGAGUGCUAANUGUUAGGGGGUUUCCGCCCCUUANUGCUGCAGCUAACGCAUUAAGCACUCCGCCUGGGGAGUACGGUCGCAAGACUGAAACUCAAAGGAAUUGACGGGGGCCCGCACA